UCAUGUUCCAUACUUACUUGCCCUGUAUCUGCCUGUGGAACCAGCUCAUCUUUCUGUCCCUCAUCAUCACUGGUGGCAUGUUGCUGCAUAGCUGUCUGGCUCACUUCUUCACUGCUGCGUCUGCUGCUAAUAUUUAACUGCGAGGUGCUGCUGCUAGGUGUGCUGCUAAAUAUUUCAGUUAGUUUGUGACAUUUAGCGGCUUCAGUAUCAAAAUUCCGCAAAUUUUUUUUUCUUUCGCCUUCUCAGCCCCACCCUUUUCUUUUCGUUUUUUACCCCGCGGGCCGCGUUAUGCAUAUUGUUUGUCUAACGUCUUCUGUCUUCUGUCUAACGUCUUUGCUGUUGGUUUCCUCCUCCUCUUCCACUUCUUCUUCUCCUUACUUGGCGGCCACGGCCAGUGCAGCUGGCAUCCAACUUAAAGGUGAAUUGCUGCCACCUACAGUAAUGGAGUGUGAAACAGAUUAGUGGGGGGAAAAAACAGGUGAUGACUGCGUGUGUGGCAGGUGGUGGGCCGGCACGCCGGCCGUCCUGGAGUACCAGCCGUUCUGUGAUUCUCCAGAUCACACAGUCCACACAGUCCGCCCCUGUCCACAAUCUCCUCCUGCAGGACAGCAACCUUCAAAGGAGACACCAUAACGGUCUCCACGACCCCCAAGAACGGGGGAGGAUGGCAGAGAAACUGCAGCGCGUACCCCUUCCUCAGCAUCUUGUCUAACCAUCCCGGCUGAGUGCAUAGCCGACGCCACUCUGAGUAGAACAGGGAGAGCGGGCAAGCACGCAGCAGGGGAGCGGUGGCCAGCCGCUGAUUUUACACCUCCUCGGCCCUGACUGCCACGGGGGGCAGUCCGCGAACAGCCAACCAACCCAAGGCGGGGCCAACCCGAAAGGGAGAGGAGGACGCAUGCGCCACCUAGGCCGAGCCGUCCAUUUCCCCAUCCCCAUACAGAUUUAUGGAGUCGGACACUGAGGGCAGGGAGACCGAAGGCUCACUCACAGGUUGAAAAGCAACACAAGGAGACCAAUUUGGACUCGAUUUUUGGAAGAAAUCAUGGACUGUGAGUCAAGCAAUUUGUGAUUCAGGAGGUCCCUCUGGCUCUUGACCACCACUGUGACACCAUCAUCUGGCUGGCCAUUUCAGAGAUUUCCCAGAUGUUGAUAAGUUUCCCCCUUCUUUCUCCUAUUC
Esox lucius (northern pike) is the source of this 1180-nucleotide long non-coding RNA. RefSeq lists it as uncharacterized. Lineage: Eukaryota; Metazoa; Chordata; Actinopteri; Esociformes; Esocidae. The record is from RefSeq and is a predicted model, not a curated record. The transcript is spliced from 3 exons.